UACGGAGGAUCCAAGCGUUAUCCGGAUUCAUUGGGUUUAAAGGGUGCGUAGGCGGCCUAUUAAGCCAGUGGUGAAAGUUUGCAGCUUAACUGUAAAAUUGCCAUUGAUACUGGUAGGCUUGAGUACAGCUGAGGUAGGCGGAAUGUGUAAUGUAGCGGUGAAAUGCUUAGAUAUUACACAGAACACCGAUUGCGUAGGCAGCUUACUAAACUGUAACUGACGCUGAGGCACGAAAGCGUGGGGAGCGAACAGG
RNAcentral lists this ribosomal RNA (253 nucleotides) under uncultured bacterium. RNAcentral's name for it is "partial 16S ribosomal RNA". It matches the Rfam family "Bacterial small subunit ribosomal RNA", at positions 524 to 776 of the family's 1533-position model. The record is from RNAcentral.